GGACGAAUAGCUCCAAUGGCAGAGCAUCGGUUUGAAGAGCCGGCAGUGUUGGUUCGAAUCCAGCUUCGUCCA
Molecule: transfer RNA, 72 nt
Filed under: Flavisolibacter sp.
Lineage: Bacteria; Pseudomonadati; Bacteroidota; Chitinophagia; Chitinophagales; Chitinophagaceae
Rfam family: tRNA
About the family: Transfer RNA (tRNA) molecules are approximately 80 nucleotides in length. Their secondary structure includes four short double-helical elements and three loops (D, anti-codon, and T loops).
Source: Rfam by way of RNAcentral